UACAGAGGGGGCAAGCGUUGUUCGGAAUUACUGGGCGUAAAGGGCUCGUAGGCGGCCAACUAAGUCAGACGUGAAAUCCCCAGGCUCAACCUGGGAACUGCGUCUGAUACUGGAUGGCUUGAAUCCGGGAGAGGGAUGCAGAAUUCCAGGUGUAGCGGUGAAAUGCGUAGAUAUCUGGAGGAAUACCGGUGGCGAAGGCGGCAUCCUGGACCGGCAUUGACGCUGAUGAGCGAAAGCCAGGGGAGCAAACGGG
Molecule: ribosomal RNA, 253 nt
Filed under: uncultured bacterium
Lineage: Bacteria
Description: partial 16S ribosomal RNA
Rfam family: Bacterial small subunit ribosomal RNA
Source: RNAcentral